AGGAGAGUAGUUAAAUUAAUAACAUUUACAUUGCAAGUAAAAAGUAUUGAAACCAAUCCCUCUUA
This 65-nucleotide transfer RNA is filed under the name Penthicodes caja. Its description in RNAcentral is "tRNA-Ala". Lineage: Eukaryota; Metazoa; Arthropoda; Insecta; Hemiptera; Fulgoridae. The record is from RNAcentral.